GACGAACGCUGGCGGCGUGCUUAACACAUGCAAGUCGAGCGGUAAGGCCCUUUCGGGGGUACACGAGCGGCGAACGGGUGAGUAACACGUGGGUGACCUGCCCUCAGCUCUGGGAUAAGCCUGGGAAACCGGGUCUAAUACUGGAUAUGACUCCAUGACGCAUGUUGUGGGGUGGAAAGCCUUGUGCGGCUGAGGAUGGGCCCGUGGCCUAUCAGCUUGUUGGUGGGGUGAUGGCCUACCAAGGCGACGACGGUAGCCGGCCUGAGAGGCGACCGGCCACACUGGGACUGAGACACGGCCCAGACUCCUACGGGAGGCAGCAGUGGGGAAUCUUGCGCAAUGGGCGAAAGCCUGACGCAGCGACGCCGCGUGAGGGAUGACGGCCUGGU
RNAcentral lists this ribosomal RNA (389 nucleotides) under uncultured bacterium. RNAcentral's name for it is "bacterial SSU rRNA". It matches the Rfam family "Bacterial small subunit ribosomal RNA", at positions 28 to 420 of the family's 1533-position model. The record is from RNAcentral.